GCUCCGGUGGUGUAGCCCGGUAUAGAAAAUCGGAGAGCAUACUGGCCUUUCGAGCCAGGGGUCGCGGGUUCAAAUCCCGCCCGGAGCA
Molecule: transfer RNA, 88 nt
Filed under: Candidatus Bathyarchaeota archaeon
Lineage: Archaea; Thermoproteati; Candidatus Bathyarchaeota
Also listed under: 2 other names
Description: tRNA-Glu
Rfam family: tRNA
About the family: Transfer RNA (tRNA) molecules are approximately 80 nucleotides in length. Their secondary structure includes four short double-helical elements and three loops (D, anti-codon, and T loops). Further hydrogen bonds mediate the characteristic L-shaped molecular structure. tRNAs have two regions of fundamental functional importance: the anti-codon, which is responsible for specific mRNA codon recognition, and the 3' end, to which the tRNAs corresponding amino acid is attached (by aminoacyl-tRNA synthetases). tRNAs cope with the degeneracy of the genetic code in two manners: having more than one tRNA (with a specific anti-codon) for a particular amino acid; and 'wobble' base-pairing, i.e. permitting non-standard base-pairing at the 3rd anti-codon position.
Source: RNAcentral